AUUAACCUACGUUUCCGGCAAUUCAAAACAGUUUAUACAAACAUGAGUCAGAAAUGAUGAAACUAAUUACCAUGAAUAUUCUACUCACAGUAAUCAUACAAAUCUACUGCAUAGCAUUUUAUACAGUCCAAUUCAGUUGAAUCUAUACAGUUCUUCAGUUAAUACAGUCCAGCGUCAACACAAAUUAUAAAUUGUUCUUAUCGUCUGAAUCCUUAUUACUACCAUUGUACAUAUAAGAUUUGACAUUAAACAACGAAUUGGCAUCAUCCAGAUUGCAUUUCCUCAAUUAACCAGUACACCUUGAUUGAUUCCUUCAUACAUCAAUUGGAGUGGGAAAAAUACCUAAGAUUAGAAAUUCAGUAGAAGAAGAAGAAAUUAGCGGCAGUAUCAGUAGAAGUCAGUGCAGUCAAGAAAAUUCAAUAGCUCAGGAAGGAUUUAAAACAAAAUAUAAACAGCCAAUCAACCAAAAUACUCAAUUGUAGCACCUAGUAAAUGACUGCAGAACAGACUCAAUUGCAACCAAAAAAAAAAUCAACCGAAAUCCAACCAGAAAACCCCUGAAACCACGCCAACCAACUGCUAAACUAAAAAUGUAACUCAAUAGAUAGGAGUUGAAAUUCACUUCAAGUUCCAAUGGAACAGUAGGAUUUUUUUAUUUUUGAAAGUUUCUAAUGUUUUUUUUUUUGAAUUUUUUUAAUGAAGGAAGCUAAAAUCUAAGCGGAAUUUGAUCUGAAUAUGAAUUUCAUAUUUGUAGAGCUUGAGGAUAUUUUUGGGGGAGUAUUGAGG
RNAcentral lists this long non-coding RNA (786 nucleotides) under Nicotiana benthamiana. RNAcentral describes it as "long non-coding RNA (NBEN_LNC030295)". Lineage: Eukaryota; Viridiplantae; Streptophyta; Magnoliopsida; Solanales; Solanaceae. The record is from RNAcentral.